RNAcentral lists this ribosomal RNA (301 nucleotides) under uncultured bacterium. RNAcentral's name for it is "partial 16S ribosomal RNA". It matches the Rfam family "Bacterial small subunit ribosomal RNA", at positions 509 to 809 of the family's 1533-position model. The record is from RNAcentral.
CAGUCGCCACGGGAAUACGUAGGUGGCAAGCGUUGUCCGGAAUUAUUGGGCGUAAAGGGCUCGCAGGCGGUUUCUUAAGUCUGAUGUGAAAGCCCCCGGCUCAACCGGGGAGGGUCAUUGGAAACUGGGAAACUUGAGUGCAGAAGAGGAGAGUGGAAUUCCACGUGUAGCGGUGAAAUGCGUAGAGAUGUGGAGGAACACCAGUGGCGAAGGCGACUCUCUGGUCUGUAACUGACGCUGAGGAGCGAAAGCGUGGGGAGCGAACAGGAUUAGAUACCCGCGUAGUCCCUGUCUCUUAUAA